RNAcentral lists this ribosomal RNA (459 nucleotides) under uncultured bacterium. RNAcentral describes it as "partial 16S ribosomal RNA". It matches the Rfam family "Bacterial small subunit ribosomal RNA", at positions 338 to 795 of the family's 1533-position model. The record is from RNAcentral.
CCUACGGGUGGCAGCAGUGAGGAAUAUUGGUCAAUGGCCGGAAGGCUGAACCAGCCAAGCCGCGUGAAGGACGAAGGUGCCAAGCAUUGUAAACUUCUUUUGUCAAGGGACAAAAUCAGGCUCGAGAGCCUGACCGAGGGUACUUGAAGAAAAAGCAUCGGCUAACUCCGUGCCAGCAGCCGCGGUAAUACGGAGGAUGCGAGCGUUAUCCGGCUUUAUUGGGUUUAAAGGGUGCGUAGGCGGGCUGUUAAGUCAGCGGUAAAAGCCCGGGGCUCAACCCCGGCGAGCCGUUGAAACUGGCUGGCUUGAGAGGUCGAGAGGUAGGCGGAAUGCGCAGUGUAGCGGUGAAAUGCUUAGAGAUUGCACAGAACUCCGAUUGCGAAGGCAGCAUACCGGCGGCGAUCUGACGCUGAGGCACGAAAGCGUGGGUAUCGAACAGGAUUAGAUACCCCUGUAGUC